GGCCAGUCCCAGUGCACUGGUGUUUGCAAUUGAUCACAACCAGUUACAGAUUUCUUUGUUCCUUCUUCAUUCCCACUGCCUCACUUGACUAGCCUUAA
RNAcentral lists this Y RNA (98 nucleotides) under Prolemur simus (greater bamboo lemur). RNAcentral describes it as "Y RNA (ENSPSMG00000019277.1)". It matches the Rfam family "Y RNA". Rfam says of the family: Y RNAs are components of the Ro ribonucleoprotein particle (Ro RNP), in association with Ro60 and La proteins. The Y RNAs and Ro60 and La proteins are well conserved, but the function of the Ro RNP is not known. Lineage: Eukaryota; Metazoa; Chordata; Mammalia; Primates; Lemuridae. The record is from Rfam by way of RNAcentral.